AGAGUUUGAUCAUGGCUCAGGACGAACGCUGGCGGCGUUAACACAUGCAAGUCGAACGGAAAGCGCUCUUCGGAGUGACUCGAGUGGCGAACGGGUGAGUAACACGUGGGUGAUCUGCCCUGCACUUUGGGAUAAGCCUGGGAAACUGGGUCUAAUACCGGAUGGGACUACGGCCUGCAUGGGUUGUGGUGGAAAGCUUUUGCGGUGUGGGAUGGGCCCGCGGCCUAUCAGCUUGUUGGUGGGGUGAUGGCCUACCAAGGCGACGACGGGUAGCCGGCCUGAGAGGGUGUCCGGCCACACUGGGACUGAGAUACGGCCCAGACUCCUACGGGAGGCAGCAGUGGGGAAUAUUGCACAAUGGGCGCAAGCCUGAUGCAGCGACGCCGCGUGAGGGAUGACGGCCUUCGGGUUGUAAACCUCUUUCAGCACAGACGAAGCGCAAGUGACGGUAUGUGCAGAAGAAGCACCGGCCAACUACGUGCCAGCAGCCGCGGUAAUACGUAGGGUGCGAGCGUUGUCCGGAAUUACUGGGCGUAAAGAGCUCGUAGGUGGUUUGUCGCGUUGUUCGUGAAAACUCACAGCUUAACUGUGGGCGUGCGGGCGAUACGGGCAGACUGGAGUACUGCAGGGGAGACUGGAAUUCCUGGUGUAGCGGUGGAAUGCGCAGAUAUCAGGAGGAACACCGGUGGCGAAGGCGGGUCUCUGGGCAGUAACUGACGCUGAGGAGCGAAAGCGUGGGGAGCGAACAGGAUUAGAUACCCUAGUAGUCC
Molecule: ribosomal RNA, 770 nt
Filed under: uncultured bacterium
Lineage: Bacteria
Description: bacterial SSU rRNA
Rfam family: Bacterial small subunit ribosomal RNA
Source: RNAcentral